This 243-nucleotide unclassified non-coding RNA is filed under the name uncultured Scleroderma. RNAcentral's name for it is "sequence contains ITS2". The record is from RNAcentral. Lineage: Eukaryota; Fungi; Basidiomycota; Agaricomycetes; Boletales; Sclerodermataceae.
AAACCUCGGAUCGACGCUUCGACCCCGUCGGAGUUCGGUCUGGACUUGUGGGAGUCUGCGGGCGAAGCGUGACUUCGUCGGCUCUCCUCAAAAGCAUUAGCCGUGGGCGGCGAGCCUGGCAUGGCACGGCCCCUUCGACGUCGUAAUGAUCGUCGUGGGCCGGAAGCGUGUACGGCUCGACGGGACCCGUGCUUCGCGAGUCUUGCGAGCCCGUCCCUCGUCGGACGGCCGCGCCCCAUCGAA